GUGCUUGCUUUGGCAGUGCAUACACUAAAGUAAGAAUGAUACAGAGAUUAGCAUGGCCCCUGUGCAAAGAUAGCAUACAAAUUCAUUAAGCAUUCUAUAUUUUU
This is a small nuclear RNA of Jaculus jaculus (lesser Egyptian jerboa), 104 nucleotides long. NCBI's taxonomy places the organism in Eukaryota, Metazoa, Chordata, Mammalia, Rodentia, Dipodidae. The record is from Ensembl.